GUGCCAGCAGCCGCGGUAACACGUAGGGUGCAAGCGUUGUCCGGAAUUAUUGGGCGUAAAGGGCUCGUAGGCGGUCCGUCACGUCGGGAGUGAAAACUCGGGGCUCAACCCCGAGCCUGCUUUCGAUACGGGCGGACUAGAGGUAGGUAGGGGAGAACGGAAUUCCUGGUGUAGCGGUGGAAUGCGCAGAUAUCAGGAGGAACACCGGUGGCGAAGGCGGUUCUCUGGGCCUUACCUGACGCUGAGGAGCGAAAGCGUGGGGAGCGAACAGGAUUAGAAACCCUCGUAGUCC
Molecule: ribosomal RNA, 292 nt
Filed under: uncultured bacterium
Lineage: Bacteria
Description: partial 16S ribosomal RNA
Rfam family: Bacterial small subunit ribosomal RNA
Source: RNAcentral